GUCUACGGCCAUACCACCCUGAACGCGCCCAAUCUCGUCUGAUCUCGGAAGCUAAGCAGGGUCGGGCCUGGUUAGUACUUGGAUGGGAAAAUGUUUUUUUUCUGUAACCA
Molecule: ribosomal RNA, 110 nt
Filed under: Neogale vison (American mink)
Lineage: Eukaryota; Metazoa; Chordata; Mammalia; Carnivora; Mustelidae
Source: RNAcentral